RNAcentral lists this ribosomal RNA (597 nucleotides) under uncultured bacterium. RNAcentral's name for it is "SSU rRNA". It matches the Rfam family "Bacterial small subunit ribosomal RNA", at positions 242 to 856 of the family's 1533-position model. The record is from RNAcentral.
CAGGUAGUUGGUGAGGUAACGGCUCACCAAGCCGAUGACCGAUAGCUGUUCUGAGAGGAAGAUCAGCCACACUGGGACUGUGACACGGCCCAGACUCCUACGGGAGGCAGCAGCGAGGAAUAUUGCACAAUGGAGGAAACUCUGAUGCAGUAACGCCGCGUGGGGGAAGAAGACCUUCGGGUUGUAAACCUCUUUUUGUAAAGACGAGUGAGGACGGUAUUUGCAGAAUAAGUCUCGGCUAACUACGUGCCAGCAGCCGCGGUAAGACGUAGGAGGCGAGCGUUAUCCGGAUUCACUGGGCGUAAAGCGCAUGUAGGCGGAUGUCUAAGUCGUGUGUUAAAGCCCCUGGCUCAACUGGGGGAGGUCAUGCGAGACUGGAUGACUUGAGGGCAACAGAGGCACGUGGAACUCCCGGUGUAGCGGUGGAAUGCGUAGAGAUCGGGAAGAACACCCGUGGCGAAGGCGGCGUGCUGGGUUGCAACUGACGCUGAGAUGCGAAAGUGUGGGGAGCAAACGGGAUUAGAUACCCCGGUAGUCCACACUGUAAACGAUGAACCCUAGGUGUGGGGGGAUAAAACCCUCUGUGCCGAAGCUAAC